GACGAACGCUGGCGGCGUGCCUAACACAUGCAAGUCAACUUGACUGAAGGAGCAAUCUGACAGUAGAGUGGCGCAAGGGUGCGUAACGCGUAAGUAACUUGCCCCAAGGUAAGGAAUAACGUCGAGAAAUCGGCGCUAAUACCUCAUAAUGCAGCGGAUCCGCAUGGAUAUGUUGUUAAAGGUUUACCGCCUUGGGAUAGGCUUGCGUCUGAUUAGUUAGUUGGUGUGGUAACGGCACACCAAGGCUACGAUCAGUAACUGGUCUGAGAGGAUGAUCAGUCACACUGGAACUGAGACACGGUCCAGACUCCUACGGGAGGCAGCAGUGAGGAAUAUUGGGCAAUGCUCGAAAGAGUGACCCAGCAACGCCGCGUGGAGGAUGGAAGGUAUUCUAUAUCGU
Molecule: ribosomal RNA, 400 nt
Filed under: uncultured bacterium
Lineage: Bacteria
Description: bacterial SSU rRNA
Rfam family: Bacterial small subunit ribosomal RNA
Source: RNAcentral